AUCGGGAGCCGCAAAGGUUUCGCCACAGAUGAGCUAAGUGAUGGGGUGAUGUCCCUCGGUACCCGUGAAGAAUCAUGGAAACGUUUAAUGUAUCUCGGAAGUGACAUGCCUAUCUUUUUUCGUAACUCUAUGUAGGCGUUCACCUGCUCAUACGGAGGCCCUUCGGCUCUUAGCGGGUAUCGGGCGCUGGGGGCGGGGCUUACGUGCCCUCUCACGCUCCCCCCCCCCACGCGGACAGAAAAGCAUGAAGAAAGCCAGGAUAGCAUCAGCACAGAACCUCCAUCUCCACUCCGCCCUGCAGUCAGAAGGGGGCAUCGUAGACGGCAUCUUACUGGGGAAAAUCACAAGCGCGACACUUUGACAGACAGUACACUCCCAAUUGAGAAGAAAAGGAAGCGGGACUGAAAGGAACAUUUGGGCUUCCCUGUUUUUUUAAAAAAGAUACGGGUAUACUUUUAUACACACUUUUCACGACCAUAUUCUCAGUUUUGGUAUUGUUCUUGAUGGAGAGUAGUAAGUUCCUUUCCCAGGGGAUGGAGGAGAAUGUAAAGGAGUCAGGAACUUGCACAGGUGAAUAAGAAAAUGCAAACCUGACUGCCACAUGACUGGAUUUCUGGAUUAUUUUUCAGAGACUUCCCUUAUUAGAUUGGGAGCAAGGCCAACUUCUUAGAAAACACAAUGGGGAAAUCCAGGAAUUUAUAGCUGCAUGAAUUUAUUUCAUCUUGUACAUCCCCACACGCCAAGGAGAUGAAUACAUAAAAGCAAAGACAGAACUUCA
Long non-coding RNA from Varanus komodoensis (Komodo dragon), 778 nucleotides. RefSeq lists it as uncharacterized. The record is from RefSeq and is a predicted model, not a curated record. NCBI's taxonomy places the organism in Eukaryota, Metazoa, Chordata, Lepidosauria, Squamata, Varanidae. The transcript is spliced from 2 exons.